ACGCUCGACACCUACGGGAGGCAGCAGUGGGGAAUAUUGCACAAUGGGGGAAACCCUGAUGCAGCAACGCCGCGUGAGUGAAGAAGUAUUUCGGUAUGUAAAGCUCUAUCAGCAGGGAAGAUAAUGACGGUACCUGACUAAGAAGCUCCGGCUAAAUACGNGCAAGCAGCCGCGGUAAUCUGGAGCCGGGUCUGGCAAGGC
RNAcentral lists this ribosomal RNA (201 nucleotides) under uncultured bacterium. RNAcentral describes it as "partial 16S ribosomal RNA". It matches the Rfam family "Bacterial small subunit ribosomal RNA", at positions 328 to 538 of the family's 1533-position model. The record is from RNAcentral.